AUGCAUUCUAGUUCUAGAAGAAACUAUGAUUCCGGUGCUUUCAAGCGUAAGAAGAAAUUAAAAUUAGAAGAGGAUGUUGAAUCUCAAAAGGGUGCCAUUGAUAAAUUUGUUAUGAAAAGACCCCAAACUAAUUCUGAAAAUCAAACACCAGAAGCUAAUAUUGAUGAUGGUCAUGGUAAUAAUGCAGAAGAGGCUGAGAUUCAUGCUAUAGAAAUUCAAGAAGGUGAUGAUGGUCAUAGUGAUAAUGCAGAAGAGGUCGAGGCUCCUGCGACGGAAAUUGAUGAAGAUCAUGGUCCUAAUAUUUCCGUUAACAUGAAUAAUUCUGUUCAGCCUGAUAUUUUUGAUACUAGAAACUGGGAUGGACUUGAUCCUAAAAAGAUUGAUAUUUUGCUGCAAAGGGGUCCUAAAAGAGAAGAUAUUGAGCAUUGUUCGUAUGACAAGUUCUCCAGAAGGUUUUCUGCAUUGUCAUUUAAUAGAAUUCUCUCAAAUGGAGAAAUGUUUGACAGAGAGUAGCUUGUAUACAGUAGCGACCUUGACAAUGUAUUUUGUUUUUGGUGCAAAUUAUUAAAAAGGGGGUUUGUGAGAGGCCAGCUAGCAAAUGAUGGUUUAAGUGACUGGAUUGAUCUUGGGGCUAGACUUAAAGAGCAUGAAUCAAGUAUAGAGCAUAUCACAAAUAUAAUUGCAUGGUAUGACUACCGUCUCAGGUUCCAGAAGAAUACAAUUGAUGAAGUUGCUCAGGGAGAACUUGAAACAGAAAAGGAACAUUUGACACAAGUUUUGCUCAGGAUUUUGUUGAUUGUAAAAAAAUUUAGAGGACAUAAUAUAGCAUUUCGUGGUAGUAAUAGCAAGUUGUACCAAGAGAGAAAUGGGAAUUUUCUAGUAUUGGUUGAAAUGUUGGUUGAAUUCGACACAGUUAUCAAAGAGCAUGUUGACCGCCUUGUUGGGGAAUGUAGUAAUUUCAAAAAAAAUCCUACGCACACGCAAGAUCAUGGUGAUGCAUAG
RNAcentral lists this ribosomal RNA (1002 nucleotides) under Triticum aestivum (bread wheat). RNAcentral describes it as "partial small subunit ribosomal RNA". Lineage: Eukaryota; Viridiplantae; Streptophyta; Magnoliopsida; Poales; Poaceae. The record is from RNAcentral.